This 2636-nucleotide ribosomal RNA is filed under the name Halobacteriales archaeon QS_9_68_17. RNAcentral describes it as "bacterial LSU rRNA". It matches the Rfam family "Archaeal large subunit ribosomal RNA". Lineage: Archaea; Methanobacteriati; Methanobacteriota; Halobacteria; Halobacteriales. The record is from RNAcentral.
CACCUGGUGGAUAGCUCGGCUCGAGUGCCGACGAAGGACGUGCCAAGCUGCGAUAAGCUCCAGGGACCCGCACGGAGGGAAAGAACUGGAGAUCUCCGAAUGGGAAUCCCCGCCGCAAUUGCCUCGCGCAAUGGGGAACGCCGGGAACUGAAACAUCUCAGUACCGGCAGGAACAGAAACCAAACGGGAUGUCGUUAGUAACCGCGAGUAAACGCGACACAGUCCAAACCGAAGCCCACACGGGCAAUGUGGUGUUCGGACUGACACACAGCACCGGAACACUCCUAUGAAGUCUCCUGGAACGGAGCGCGAUACAGGGUGACAGCCCCGUAAUACGAGCAACUACGGUGUGCGUCAGCUCCAGAGUAUCGGGGGUUGGAUAUCCCUCGUGAAAACGGCCGGCAUUGACGGCUAAGACUAAAUACACCUCGAGACCGAUAGCGAACGAGUAGCGUGAGCGAACGCUGAAAAGCACCCCACAACGGGAGGUGCAAUAGGGCUUGAAAUCAGGUGGCGAUCGAGCGACCGAGCAUACAAGGUCCGCUGAACAACGACCUACCCGCGAGGGCACAGUAGGAAUCAGCGGAAGCCGAUGUUCCGUCGUACGUUUUGAAAAACGAACCAGGGAGUGUACUUGUUUGGCGAGUCUAACCCGGUCAUCGGGGAAGGCGCAGGGAAACCGAUAUGGCCGCAGCCUCACGGCGAGGGCCACCGUGUUCAAGCGCGGGGAGUCAAACGGGUACGACCCGAAACCGGACGAUCUAUGCGUGGGCAAGGUCAAGCGUGCCGAAAGGCACGUGGAAGCCUGCUAGAGCUGGUGUCCUACAAUACCCUCUCGUGACCUACGUAUAGGGGUGAAAGGCCCAUCGAGUCCGGCCACAGCUGGUUCCAACCCAAACAUGUCGAAGCAUGACCUCUGCCGAGGUAGUUCGUGGGGUAGAGACACUGAUUGGGAGACCCAACCCCGAGAGGAGUUGGCCUCCCUGUCAAACUCCAAACCUACGAACGCCGGCGACGCAGGGAGUCCGGUGUGCGGGGUAAGCCUGUGCACCAUGAGGGAGACAACCCAGAGCCGGGGUAAGGUCCCCAAGUGUGGAUUAAGUGCGAUCGAAGGUGGUCUCGAGCCCUAAACAGCCGGGAGGUGAGCUUAGAAGCAGCUACCCUCUAAGAAAAGCGUAACAGCUUACCGGCCGAGGUUCGAGGCGCCCAAAAUGAUCGGGGCUCAAAUCCACCACCGACACCCGGCGGCACCGCUCACCCGGUGACCCAGUAGGUUGGCGCUCUACUCGGCUGGAAGCUCGGGCGAGAGCUCGCGUGGACCGAGUAGUGACGAAAAUCCUGGUCAUAGUAGCAGCGUUAGUCGGGUUAGAACCCCGACGGCCGAACGAGCAAGGGUUCCUCGGCACUGCCGAUCAGCCGAGGGUUAGCCGGUCCUAAGUCUCACCGUAACCCGACCGAGACAACAGGGAAACGGGUUAAUAUUCCCGUGCCACUGGACAACGAAACCGACGCUUUGGGGCCGCCUGAGCCGGGCUCUCGCCCGGUCGAACUAUCAAACUCCGUGGACGCCGUAACGGCAGGAAGCGGACGAACGAUGGGAUAGCGCAAGUCAGGUCAACCUAGAGCCCGUGAAAAGGGAGUCCGGUGUCCGUACCAAGAACCGACACAGGUGCUCAUGGCAGCGAAAGCCAAGGCCUGUCGGGAGCAACCGACGUUAGGGAAUUCGGCAAGCUAGUCCCGUACGUUCGCAAUAAGGGAUGCCUGCCCUCUUCGGGGCAGGUCGCAGUGACUCGGACGCUCCGACUGUGUAGUAACAACAUAGGUGACCGCAAAUCCGCAAGGACUCGUACGGUCACUGAAUCCUGCCCAGUGCGGGUAUCUGAACACCCAGUACAAUGGGGCGAAGGACCCGUUAACGGCGGGGGUAACUAUGACCCUCUUAAGGUAGCGUAGUACCUUGCCGCUUCAGUAGCGGCUUGCAUGAAUGGAUCAACGAGAGCGUCACUGUCCCAACGUUGGGCCCGGUGAACUGCAUCACACAGGUACCCGCGCCAGCGGGCCACCGAGACACCACUGAAAUACUACCCGGUAGUGACUGUGACUCUCACUCUGGGAAGAGAACACCGGUAGCCAGGCAGUUUGACUGGGGCGGUACGCGCUUGAAAAGAUAUCGAGCGCGCCCCAAGAUUUCCUCAUCCGAGUCGGAGACUCGGAACUGAGCGCAAGAGCACAAGGAAGUCUGACAGUGUCGUUCCCAACGAGCGACGCUGACGCGAAAGCGUGGUCUAGCGAACCAAUCAGCCUGCUCGAUGCGGGCGAUUGAUGACAGAAAAGCUACCUUAGGGAUAACAGAGUCGUCACUCGCAAGAGCACAUAUCGACCGAGUGGCUUGCUACCUCGAUGUCGGUUCCCUCCAUCCUGCCGUUUAGACCGUCGUGAGACAGGUCGGCUGCUAUCUAUUGGGGGUGUCACGGAACCUGACGGGAACGGUCGUAUAGUACGAGAGGAACUCCGACCGGUCACCACUGGUCUACCGGUUGUCCGAGAGGGCACGCGCCGGGCAGCCACGUGACACGGGGUAAGAGCUGAACGCAUCUAAGCUCGAAACCCACCUGGAAAAGAGGUUCCACUACAGG